This 438-nucleotide ribosomal RNA is filed under the name Escherichia coli. Its description in RNAcentral is "partial 23S ribosomal RNA". It matches the Rfam family "Bacterial large subunit ribosomal RNA", at positions 755 to 1191 of the family's 2925-position model. The record is from RNAcentral. Lineage: Bacteria; Pseudomonadati; Pseudomonadota; Gammaproteobacteria; Enterobacterales; Enterobacteriaceae.
GGUAACACUAACUGGAGGACCGAACCGACUAAUGUUGAAAAAUUAGCGGAUGACUUGUGGCUGGGGGUGAAAGGCCAAUCAAACCGGGAGAUAGCUGGUUCUCCCCGAAAGCUAUUUAGGUAGCGCCUCGUGAAUUCAUCUCCGGGGGUAGAGCACUGUUUCGGCAAGGGGGUCAUCCCGACUUACCAACCCGAUGCAAACUGCGAAUACCGGAGAAUGUUAUCACGGGAGACACACGGCGGGUGCUAACGUCCGUCGUGAAGAGGGAAACAACCCAGACCGCCAGCUAAGGUCCCAAAGUCAUGGUUAAGUGGGAAACGAUGUGGGAAGGCCCAGACAGCCAGGAUGUUGGCUUAGAAGCAGCCAUCAUUUAAAGAAAGCGUAAUAGCUCACUGGUCGAGUCGGCCUGCGCGGAAGAUGUAACGGGGCUAAACCAUG